AUGGAAGUGAUGAUUAUUUCCCCAGAUGAUCGACGCUGACUAAACUGAGCGAUUUUUUUUCUCUUCUGAGAAACCAAGCCAAAUGUUCUGAUCCAU
Molecule: small nucleolar RNA, 96 nt
Organism: Carya illinoinensis
Lineage: Eukaryota; Viridiplantae; Streptophyta; Magnoliopsida; Fagales; Juglandaceae
Product: small nucleolar RNA Z103
Exons: 1
Source: RefSeq, a predicted model, not a curated record